AGUGAACGCUGGCGGUAGGCCUAACACAUGCAAGUCGAGCGGCAGCACAGUAAGAGCUUGCUCUUACGGGUGGCGAGUGGCGGGCGGGUGAGGAGUACAUCGCCAUCUACUUUUUCUUGGAUGAUAACGUAGGGAAACUUACGCUAAUAGCGCAUACGACCUACGGGUGAAAGCAGGAGAUCUUCGGACCUUGCGCGUUUGAAUGAGCCGAUGCCGGAUUAGCUUGUUGGCGGGGUAAAGGCCCACCAUGGCGACGAUCCGUAGCCGGUCUGAGAGGAUGAUCGGCCACACUGGAACUGAGACACGGUCCUGACUCCUACGGGAGGCAGCAGUGGGGAAUGUUGGGCAAUGGGCGAAAGCCUGACCCAGCCACGCCGCGUGGGUGAAGAAGGCCUUCGGGUCGUAAAGCCCUUUUGUUGGGAAAGAACAGCUGUAGGGUAAUACAUCGCUGUUCUGACGGUACCCAAUGAAUAAGCACCGGCUAACUACGUG
RNAcentral lists this ribosomal RNA (492 nucleotides) under uncultured bacterium. RNAcentral describes it as "partial 16S ribosomal RNA". It matches the Rfam family "Bacterial small subunit ribosomal RNA", at positions 29 to 507 of the family's 1533-position model. The record is from RNAcentral.